AGAUGGGAGCUUGCUCCCUGAUGUUAGCGGCGGACGGGUGAGUAACACGUGGGUAACCUGCCUGUAAGACUGGGAUAACUCCGGGAAACCGGGGCUAAUACCGGAUGGUUGUUUGAACCGCAUGGUUCAAACAUAAAAGGUGGCUUCGGCUACCACUUACAGAUGGACCCGCGGCGCAUUAGCUAGUUGGUGAGGUAACGGCUCACCAAGGCAACGAUGCGUAGCCGACCUGAGAGGGUGAUCGGCCACACUGGGACUGAGACACGGCCCAGACUCCUACGGGAGGCAGCAGUAGGGAAUCUUCCGCAAUGGACGAAAGUCUGACGGAGCAACGCCGCGUGAGUGAUGAAGGUUUUCGGAUCGUAAAGCUCUGUUGUUAGGGAAGAACAAGUACCGUUCGAAUAGGGCGGUACCUUGACGGUACCUAACCAGAAAGCCACGGCUAACUACGUGCCAGCAGCCGCGGUAAUACGUAGGUGGCAAGCGUUGUCCGGAAUUAUUGGGCGUAAAGGGCUCGCAGGCGGUUUCUUAAGUCUGAUGUGAAAGCCCCCGGCUCAACCGGGGAGGGUCAUUGGAAACUGGGGAACUUGAGUGCAGAAGAGGAGAGUGGAAUUCCACGUGUAGCGGUGAAAUGCGUAGAGAUGUGGAGGAACACCAGUGGCGAAGGCGACUCUCUGGUCUGUAACUGACGCUGAGGAGCGAAAGCGUGGGGAGCGAACAGGAUUAGAUACCCUGGUAGUCCACGCCGUAAACAAUGAGUGCUAAGUGUUAGGGGGUUCCGCCCCUUAGUGUGCAGCUACGCAUAAGCACU
Molecule: ribosomal RNA, 811 nt
Filed under: Bacillus licheniformis
Lineage: Bacteria; Bacillati; Bacillota; Bacilli; Caryophanales; Bacillaceae
Description: bacterial SSU rRNA
Rfam family: Bacterial small subunit ribosomal RNA
Source: RNAcentral